Molecule: ribosomal RNA, 253 nt
Filed under: uncultured bacterium
Lineage: Bacteria
Description: partial 16S ribosomal RNA
Rfam family: Bacterial small subunit ribosomal RNA
Source: RNAcentral
UACGAAGGGGGCUAGCGUUGCUCGGAAUCACUGGGCGUAAAGCGCACGUAGGCGGCUUCUUAAGUCAGGGGUGAAGUCCUGGAGCUCAACUCCAGAACUGCCCUUGAUACUGAGGAGCUCGAGUCCGGAAGAGGUGAGUGGAACUGCGAGUGUAGAGGUGAAAUUCGUAGAUAUUCGCAAGAACACCAGUGGCGAAGGCGGCUCACUGGUCCGGUACUGACGCUGAGGUGCGAAAGCGUGGGGAGCAAACAGG